GAUUCCUUUUCUCCUCCGCCUGCUGGAAGCACCAGGAGAUUUUUCGCAUGUUCACUGUGAACCCAGUAGAGCCCUAAGAUGUAAAUUCAUAAAAGUAUUGGGGCCAUCAGAUGACUAAGUCCUCUUGGAGUAUUUGCUCUUCACUGAGCUUCAUCAAUUGCAUUUCAGUCUUCCAACUCUGACAGUGGUUCCCAAGGAGGUUUUGGCUUGUGGGUCUCUGCUCAGGCAUUAUGAUACUCCCUGUGGUACACAGAUACUUCUACAACAGCACUUGAUGGCAAGUAGCAAAUAUUUCUUCUUACUUUUUAAAUUUUAUGGGGAAGAACUUCAGAACUCUAAUUAUAAAUGUGUAAGUAAUAAAAACUAUAUACC
RNAcentral lists this long non-coding RNA (372 nucleotides) under Equus caballus (horse). RNAcentral's name for it is "lncRNA (ENSECAG00000052915.1)". Lineage: Eukaryota; Metazoa; Chordata; Mammalia; Perissodactyla; Equidae. The record is from RNAcentral.